GUUGAAUUUGGUUUCUCUCUGGAUCCAACAAUGAGCUCAUCAUAUUGUUCAAUCCAUUAUUUUGUUGUUGUUGUUCUCUUUGGGUACUAAAUCUCCCAUUCAUACUUCUUACUAUCUCCCCAACUCCAAGAAAGUCUCUAGUCAAUUGCUUCUUUUGAGGUGGACCUUGAUUUUGCUCAAAGUUCAACUUUGUUGUUGUAUUGUACCCUUCAUGUGAUCCACCUCCAUAAGCAUUGAUGAUACCACCAUCUGUAAUGUCACUACCAAA
This 268-nucleotide unclassified non-coding RNA is filed under the name Hevea brasiliensis (rubber tree). The record is from RNAcentral. Lineage: Eukaryota; Viridiplantae; Streptophyta; Magnoliopsida; Malpighiales; Euphorbiaceae.